RNAcentral lists this ribosomal RNA (207 nucleotides) under uncultured bacterium. Its description in RNAcentral is "partial 16S ribosomal RNA". It matches the Rfam family "Bacterial small subunit ribosomal RNA", at positions 568 to 774 of the family's 1533-position model. The record is from RNAcentral.
CGUGUAGGCGGCCUUCUAAGUCGGGUGUGAAAUCCCUCGGCUCAACCGAGGAAUUGCAUUCGAUACUGGGAGGCUAGAGUGCGGUAGGGGCAAGUGGAACUCCAGGUGUAGCGGUGAAGUGCGUAGAUAUCUGGAGGAACGCCGGUGGCGAAAGCGACUUGCUGGCCCGCAACUGACGCUGAGGCGCGAAAGCUAGGGGAGCGAACG